Lacerta agilis (Sand lizard) is the source of this 73-nucleotide non-coding RNA. NCBI's taxonomy places the organism in Eukaryota, Metazoa, Chordata, Lepidosauria, Squamata, Lacertidae. The record is from the annotation of a RefSeq genome assembly.
GCCAAAGUAGCUCAGCUGGGAGAGCGUUAGACUGAAGAUCUAAAGGUCCCUGGUUCGAUCCCGGGCUUUGGCA